This 3917-nucleotide long non-coding RNA is filed under the name Setaria viridis. RNAcentral describes it as "long non-coding RNA (SVIR_LNC002532)". Lineage: Eukaryota; Viridiplantae; Streptophyta; Magnoliopsida; Poales; Poaceae. The record is from RNAcentral.
CACGGGAAACUUUGCCUCAAAACCACCAAAUUCACGAAGACUAACACAGGUAUGAGCAGGGUGCGAUAAUCGUGCCAAGAAAAAUACUAAUCUAACCCACAGACGAGCGGAUACACGGUCCAUAUUAUUCAAGACAAAUGGCUUCUUUGAUGGCACCCUCCUUGUAAUUAAACGAAAAGCCACUGCAGGGACGGUUCUCACUUGGCGCUGGCGAGCUGGGUGCGGAUGAGCUUGGCGGCAGAGACCAUGUUGGUUAGGGCGGGCUUGACCUCCGUGUACUUGCGGGUCUUGAGACCACAGUCAGGGUUCACCCAGAGGAUGUUGGUUUCGAGCACCGCAAGCAUCUUGUUGAUGCGGUCGGCAAUCUCCUCAGUGGAUGGGAUCCUGGGGGAGUGGAUGUCGUAGACACCAGGGCCAAUGCCGGCGCCGUACUUCACACCCUCACGGAAGACGGAGAGGAGCUUCUCAUCGGACCGUGAGUUCUCAAUGGUGAUCACAUCAGCGUCCAUGUUGAUGAUGGAGUGGAUGAUGUCGUUGAAGUUGGAGUAGCACAUGUGGGUGUGGAUCUGUCAAGAGAUAAAGUCAGUUGGAAAGUCAAAGGGCAUGGUAUGAAGAUAUGACACUGCAAGGCUCCACAGCACAGUUCGAAAGCAUACCUGGGUGGUGUCCUUGAUCUCGCAGUUGGUGAUUCUGAAAGAGUGAACAGCCCAGUCCAAGUAGAAAGCGUGCUCAGUCUUGCGGAGUGGCAGACCUUCUCUUAAAGCAGCCUCGUCAAUUUGGAUGACCUGCAAAGAAUAAUGAUGAAAUAAAUGAGCAACCAUAAACUGUGCAUAAACCUCUUGAUUAAAUGACAAACCAGAAUGUAAAAGUGCCAACCUGAAUACCAGCAGCCUCAAGAUCCUCAACCUCCUUCUUGAUUGCAAGAGCAAUCUGGUAGCAGGUCUCAAACCUGGAAGAUAUAAGCCAUAAGUCAGCCUCUAAACGGAAGAGGAAAAAAGAUGUUCUCGACAGCAUAAACUCCUGUCAAAAGUUACUGACCUUGGCUGGUCAUUCCUGACAAAGGACCAGUUAAGGAUUGUGACAGGACCAGUCAACAUUCCCUUCAUUGGGCGAGAUGUCAUGCUCUGGGCAGUGGUCGACCAGAAAACGGUCAUGGGGUUGGGGCGGCUCACAUCACCAUAGAUGAUCGGUGGCUUGACACACCUUGAUCCAUAGGAUUGCACCCAACCAUUGGCAGUGAAUGCAAAACCAGAGAGCUGCUCACCGAAGUACUCAACCAUAUCGUUUCUCUGUAAAACAUACGCCAACAGAAUUACUUAAAUGUGAGCACAGCAGCGCAGAAUAACUGAAUUUUUCUACAUAUGAGAUCAUAUUUAUUUUCUCAAACGCACAGCAAAAGCUAGCAGAAUAGCUUAAAGAGAACUGACCUCAGGCUCGCCAUGCACAAGCACAUCGAUGUCGAGCUCCUCUUGGAGCUUAACAACCUUGUUGAUUUCCUCCUUGAUGGCAGUGACAUACUCCUCCUCAGAGAUCCUGCAAUGCAUAUUUCCAAUAAGCAAAGCCGCCAACAUAGAGACAAGUGAAGCAUUAGAAUUAACUGUUACUCACUUCUUCGCCUUGUACUCACGGCGGACCCUCCUGAGCUCCACAGUCUGUGGGAACGAACCAAUUGUGGUUGUGGGAAGGACUGGAAGGUUCAGCUUCUUCUGCUGAGCAUCCAAUCUAGCACUAACGUUGGUAGCACGGCGGUGGUCAGAGCCCUUGAGAGCAGCAGCCUGUAACAGUAUAGAGAAAAAGGUUGGUGAGUGCCAACAUUGGAUUAGAAUGUGCAAGUAGAUUAGUCCCAGGUACUUACAGCCUUCUGAACUUCUUCAUUUGUCACACGGGGUGAUGACUUCCUUGACGCCUGAGCGGCAGCGUUUGCCGCAAAGUAAGCCUGUAGAUGACAUUUGCCAAAAUAAAUAGGGUCAGCAUAAUUUUGUAUGAAGAAGAAACCCUCAAGGUCCAGUUAAGAGAACAGAGAGAAAAAAACAGACAUACCUCAUCCUUUUGACCAGCCAAUGCUUUGGCAAGAGCAUCAACCUCAACCACCUUCUGAGCAGCAAAAGCAAGCCAAGACUUAAUUUCAGCAUCAAGCUUAGUCUCGUUCACAAGAUCCACAGCAGUGUGCAUGAGUGAGCAAGAAGUUGACACAACAAGCUUGUCUGAACAAAAUAGUAGGCAUUUAUCAGAUAUCGCCAGUUGUAACUAAAUCCAGCUUUAUGCCAGAGGAAAGCAUAUGCUUACCCUUUCCAACAACAGCCUCAAGGGACUGGAGAGUGCUGAGGGAUGCAGCAAGAUCAUCAGCCCAGAUGUUGCGCCCAUCCACAACACCAGCAAAGAGGUACUUGCCAGCCGGGAAACUACUCUUGACAAGAUCAAGAGUCUGGGCUCCACGAACAAGGUCAAAACCAUAAGCAGUAACACCGCUCAAAGAUGUAAGGGUCCUGCAUGCAAAAGGACAAUCAGUAUCCUGCCAAUACAAAAGGUGAUCAAGGAAAAAAGAAUAGUUGAGAAAAAGGUGCACUAGGAUUUAAUAACGUACUUGUAUGAUUCUGCGGGAACAUCAGCAAAGUAAGUCUCAAUAAGCACAUUCAAUCCAGAAAGGGCGGACUCAAGUUCUGUGUAUGCAGCGGAGAAUGCAGCCAAUUUUUGAGAAUCAAGGUCAAGGACAAGGGUGGGCUCAUCAAACUGAAUCCAUGAAGCACCAGCUGCCUUCAACUCAGCAAUGACCUCCCUACAACCAUCAUGCAUCAGUUUAUCAAUUUAAGACUUGAUGCCAGCAGUAAUUAGUAACUUGCUUAUAAUCUUAAUCUUACUUGUAGACAGGGAGGAUGCCACUAAGAAGGGAAAGAAGAGGGAAUCCCUUCUCCACACCCUUGGCAGCCUUCGAGAGCAACAAGUAUGAGACUGGUCCAGUAAGUACUGGCACGGUAUCAACGCCAAGCUGCACAAAAAGCAGCAAAAUAUAAGCCAUACAUGCAAGCAGACAUUAUCUUCGCAAAAUAACAAAAAAGAAAACAAUGAAAGGAACAGAUGAGACCAUAUUGUCGCAGAUCUACAAUAUAACAAUUUAGCAUUGCAUUAAUAUGUUUAAAACACUCUUAAUUGCAUUCUUUGGUGAAUUAAGUAUUUUUUUAAAAACAAGGCGCAUUGGCAAAUUAAUAACGCAUUUUGUAUCAAUGCUCAAGUUCAAACAUGAACUACAAAGUUUAAAAAUACUUAGUUCGCCAAAUACCAGGUUGACCUGACAAUAAUAAUCUCAUCCCAGUUUAUGUGCUAAUACAAAAUUAGUAAUUAAAUGCAGGUUCAAAAAUGCUUGAUCACUAUUAAUUUAAGGUUCUAUAGCAGAAGGCAGCAUACUAAACUAAUGGAUGAAUUUAUAGGCUAAUUACAAUGUCAAUACAGGAAUUGUUUAAAUACCAGUCAAGUAUGCAUUUAGAGACUUUAUAUUAGGAGAAUAGUUUGACACAAUAAAUGAGGCAACAGAAACAUAAUGAUAGUAUCAUACCGCCUUAGCCUCCUUGUAUUCAUUAACAGCCUUGUGGGAAGAGUAGGUGAACUUGGUGUUAGGGCCCAAUUCAGGGACAAUAAAGUGGCUGCAAAAGUAGAACAAAGUUUGUUAGGAAAAAUAAAAAGAAAAAGCUGAACUGGAAAUUACUGUUGGUAGAAGCCAAAGGACUUACUAGUUGGUGUCAAACCACUUGGUCAUCUCCAUAGCAGGGACAGUGGCAUUGCCCCUAGCCAUCGAGAAGUAGGUGUCAAACCCAAUCUCUCCUCCGGUCCAUGAGUAGCGCUCUGGGACAGCGCCGAGCAUGGCGGUGGUGUCAAGGACCUGGUCAUAGUAGGAGAAGGUGUUGCUGGGGAUGUACUUGAUC